This 442-nucleotide ribosomal RNA is filed under the name uncultured bacterium. RNAcentral's name for it is "partial 16S ribosomal RNA". It matches the Rfam family "Bacterial small subunit ribosomal RNA", at positions 338 to 795 of the family's 1533-position model. The record is from RNAcentral.
CCUACGGGUGGCAGCAGUGGGGAAUAUUGGGCAAUGGGCGAAAGCCUGACCCAGCAACGCCGCGUGAAGGAAGAAGGCUUUCGGGUUGGAAACGUCUUUUGACAGGGAAGAGCAGAAGACGGGACCAGUCGAAUAAGCCACGGCUAACUACGUGCCAGCAGCCGCGGUAAUACGUAGGUGGCAAGCGGUGUACGGAUUUACUGGGGGGAAAGGGCGUGUAGCCGGGCUGACCCGUCAGAGGUGAAAUCCGGGGGCGCAACCCCCGAACUGCAUUGGAAACUGUUGGUCUUGAGUAUCGGCGGGGCUGCCGGACUUCCUCGUGUAGCGGUGACAUGCUUCGAUAUUAGGAGGACCUCCAGUGGCGAAGGCGGCCUGCUGGACUGCACCUGACGGUGUGGCUCGAAAGCGUGGGGAGCAAACAGGAUUAGAUACCCCAGUAGUC